This 253-nucleotide ribosomal RNA is filed under the name uncultured bacterium. RNAcentral's name for it is "partial 16S ribosomal RNA". It matches the Rfam family "Bacterial small subunit ribosomal RNA", at positions 524 to 776 of the family's 1533-position model. The record is from RNAcentral.
UACGAAGGGAGCUAGCGUUGCUCGGAAUCACUGGGCGUAAAGCGCACGUAGGCGGACUCUUAAGUCGGUGGUGAAAUCCUGGAGCUCAACUCCAGAACUGCCUUCGAUACUGAGAGUCUUGAGUCCGGGAGAGGUGAGUGGAACUGCGAGUGUAGAGGUGAAAUUCGUAGAUAUUCGCAAGAACACCAGUGGCGAAGGCGGCUCACUGGCCCGGUACUGACGCUGAGGUGCGAAAGCGUGGGGAGCAAACAGG